AUGAGGGUAGCUGCCACAGGAGCCCUGUGACAGACAAAGCAGGAGCUUUACAGGCCGUAAGAUGGCUGAACAGUGGUCCAUUCCACUAUGCUGGGAUGGGUCCAAGGACGCUCUACAGCCAAAGAUGUAGAGCGGCUGCAAAGGCCGCUGUGGAUGUCUGGAAUUGUGGUGGGUAGGACUAUUAAAAACAAAGUCACCAGGUGCCAACCACCAGCAUGGAGAGCUGAACCAGAGCACACUUUACUUGUUCAGUGUUCAGCACAUGAGACUCAGCAGAAAGGAAGUAAAGUCCAACAAGGAUGGGAAGGACGUCUCUAAUUUAAAUCAAAAGGACAGCCUGGAACCUGGGUGCACAAGACACUUCCAGGUUCAAAAGAAGAAAACACCAGCGAAAGUCACCUCCCAGUAUGCACUGCCAGAGACCAGUUCCUGCAGCUGCACGAGGCAGCUUCACCUUUCAGAACCUGCUUUCUCUGUUGCCAUAUUAAAAGCUUUAUUGAGGCUCAGCC
Long non-coding RNA from Peromyscus leucopus (white-footed mouse), 509 nucleotides. RefSeq lists it as uncharacterized. The transcript is spliced from 2 exons. Lineage: Eukaryota; Metazoa; Chordata; Mammalia; Rodentia; Cricetidae. The record is from RefSeq and is a predicted model, not a curated record.